RNAcentral lists this unclassified non-coding RNA (26 nucleotides) under Mus musculus (house mouse). RNAcentral describes it as "oocyte_clustered_small_RNA1301". Lineage: Eukaryota; Metazoa; Chordata; Mammalia; Rodentia; Muridae. The record is from RNAcentral.
UUAGCUUCUGUAUGCAGCACACUCAC